Non-coding RNA from Caenorhabditis elegans, 21 nucleotides. The record is from Ensembl. NCBI's taxonomy places the organism in Eukaryota, Metazoa, Nematoda, Chromadorea, Rhabditida, Rhabditidae.
UCGAAAAAUUGGACUGAUUCA